This is a long non-coding RNA of Gallus gallus (chicken), 6614 nucleotides long. RefSeq lists it as uncharacterized. NCBI's taxonomy places the organism in Eukaryota, Metazoa, Chordata, Aves, Galliformes, Phasianidae. The transcript has 5 exons. The record is from RefSeq and is a predicted model, not a curated record.
UUUUAUUCCAUGAUGCACAUAAAUAAAAAGUGAUGAAAAGUUAUCCAUUUUAGAGAAAACAAUGAAAGAUGCUACAGCUGUCAGACGCAAGGAGUGAAGGUCUAGAGACUCCACAAAUAUCAUAGACGUGGACAAGAACAUCCUAAUGCUCUUGCUGGAUAUCUCCUGCUUACAUAGGGAGUCAGAGGCCUUAGAAUCUUGUUCAGAGCUACUCCUUUACAUAAUGUAGCUCCUUCAAAUUUAUAUAGGUAAAUCACACCUCUGGUUCUGAAAGGUAUGGUUAGACAUCAUCUGAAAACCUCACCCCCCUGAAAUCAGUUGAACCCAGAACUUACUUUUUUUUGAAACUUGGAUUACUUAUUUGUGUUUAAGUCAGCUGUGUUUAUCGGGUGUUCCAGAUUGCUGUGUAAACCAACUGUUUAAACUGGAUUACUUAGCACCCCACUACUUCCACUCAUGUGCAAGCACUACCAGCUCUGGCACUGCAUUUCUAGAUAAAGCAGAGGGAAAGCAGAUUUGUUGUUCUUGAACAAAUUAAAAUUGAUGAAUAUAGUAAGGUUAAUAACACAACUUUAUCAAUGUGCUUUUUUUUCCCAAGUACCCUAAAUGUUAACAGACUUUCUAAGUUCCUGCUGCUCACUGCAUUAAGAAUUAACAUUGCAGGACUGUGCUGAGACGUAUUUGAUUUUCAGUGUAGAUUCAGGUCAAUUACCUUAUUGUGAAGCCACGAACAAGACAACUGUGGCUGGUUUACAUAUGAAAGUUCAACACAAUUAGCAUCUGUUAAAACUAUCAGAUUGUCAUUCAUUAAUCAUUUUGUUUAAGCUGGAAAACUCUCACAAAUCAAAGCACAAAAGCAUGGAACUGAUGUUUACAGUAGUGAACAUGUGCUUUGGUGAGGGGUUAUAGAUUUCUCUAAUGUUUGUUAUUUACACCCUAAAUCAUUUUUACUGACUUUUAAAUUAAAAAAAGAAAAAUCUCAUAAAAGAGAAACGAAUGCAGUUCCAUUGUAAAAAGUGGAGUUGUACAAGAGGUAUAACUGCUAUUUGUUCAUCCUAUCUUAACAUGUCUUGAAGGCAGUGUCAUGUUUAGGACAUCUUAAAAGAGCAUAUAGUAUUUCUCUUAAGACACAUAGCUAGAGAUGGGAGGUUUUCCUAUUUUUUUGGUUAGCAAGAUGUAAGGAGCUUAGUUAGUAAGGAUUCUCCAUGUAAUAGAAUAAAUAGACAGUUAAAAGUAGAAGUCUUGUGAGACAAUGAAAGAAAAAGGUGGUUGGGUCCUACUGUGUGUUAUUUCUUGUACUAUACAUUGUCUAUACAAUGACAAACAUAAGGUACUUAACUUUGGUUUCAAAUAAUCACAACUAGAAAGCCACAAAUUGACUUUUCAUUUUUCCCUUGCAAGUGCAAUAAAACCUAAGGUAAACCUUCCUGCCAAAUUGCAUUUAUGGGAACCUCGCUUUCCUGUUCACUAGUUUUACUCCAAUUAAUUAAAAGCAGCGCUCCUGCCCUGAGCUCUGGUUUCCAAGGUAUUCACAGAAGGGCUCAUGCCCCAUCCAAAGUCCUGAGUGAGACCAAAUCAGAAGUUCUUCAUGGAUUCAUACCCUAGGGCUCCUGCACCUGCAGAUUUGAGGUAUGGUUUUUCUUUUUUUUGUAAAGUUUACUUCUUCAUAAGAUGGAAACCCUACAAUGCUGAAGAAAACAGACCUUACGGAUUUUAAUACAGAACUACGGGGAUGAAAACAAGCUUACUCUGUGCUGAUUCAUUUGCUUACUUGUUUCACAUAGGAAAAGUUAUGUUGAUGCCUCUAUAUGAGGACAAGGUGAGAUGAAUAUUUAGAUUUCUUUUUUCUUUUUCUUAAUAUUGUUAUUCUUUUCACAAAUAUUCCUGACUGAAAAAGUUCUUUAAGAAUUCUGCACUCUCCUUGCUUUCCAAUUAAGUUUUCUAGGCUUUCUUAUGUGGUCCUCUGAGUGCUGGAAAGUAACAGAAACAAGAAUGCAUUUAAUACCUGGCCUGGUGUCUUGGCAGCAAAGCUUAGCACUCCAGAGUGGGGAGUAGCAGGUUCAAGACCAACCCCAGGAGUCUUACUACUUGGACUGGCAGAGGGCUAGUGUAAUGCACAGACAGUGAGCUCAUUCUGCAGGUGGAGUGUUCAGCUGCAUUGAUCUUGUGGCAAACCCGGCCUGCUAAGGUUUUGGAGAAACAUUGGCUCUGAUCUGAAAGGAAAUUGUGCUGCCUUUCCCUGUCUUUCCACUAGUUUAGCUUGCAAGCUCUAAUAACAUUAAAACAUAGUUUAAACAAGAAGGCUGACAAAGCCAGAGAGACACAAAAUAAUUUCCUAGAAGUACUAAAUACAAUAAGUAAAACUCUAUAAUCUCCCAUUAGGUAAUUGUAUUUUCAUGGGGUCAGCCAGCCUCCCUGGCUAGGUUGAGGUCAAUUCUAAAAUAUGUGUAUUAUAUACAUUAAGCAUCUGUUAAUGAAGCAUGAAUUUCAUCAGCAAUCUGGGUGCCAAAAUCAACUCAUUUUGGUACAUGGUUUGCAUCUACAGUGGUGUCUUAUUGAUCUGCUUCUUAGAUUGAACAGCAAGGUUGUAUAGAUGCAAUGAAUGGCAGAUAAUAAGGAUAGAAAGCAACACCAGGAGCAUUUUCAAGAAGCAUAAAUUCUCUAAAUUUUCACUAGAGGAAAUUCAGAGUUCAGAGGACUUUAAGAUGACAGUAAGUAAAGAGUAAGAAAAGAUCAUGUUACCUGAUCCAAGAAUAUCUGGUCAGUGCUGAUAAUUUCCCUAUAAGAAAAUAUGAAACAGUAGUAGAUAAGUGUGAAGCACAUCAUCUAUUUUUGAGCGCUCUUUGUUGGCUAGAGGUAACCAAGUGGGGCUUCAGUUUAAAAAUUCACCAUUACUUUCCUCAGAUCCAUCACAGGGACCCUGGUAGAGCAGCAUGAAAACAAUACUCUGUUAUCAGUUAAGAAAUGAGCCCUUGUGCUUCUUACUUCUCCUGUCAGGCCAAGGUGUUAAAUGUAGGACUUUUUCCCAACAAUGACAGACCUAGAAAUGAAAACAAGUUCAAAAACCCCAAUGGCAAACCUUACAAAGUCAUAACGACCAUCUUCAUCUGCAAGAACCGCAGGCACAAAUGCUAUUUUGCUUUGAAAGUGAAGUGAGGUUAUGUUCCUUCUCAACAUGUAGGCUGGAAUACUGCUUUGUUUUAUUUAAGCACCACAGGCUCUAUGGACAGCAAUGAUUUUGGUCAUUUUUAAUAGCCUGUUAAAGUGGCAGAAGUGUUUGAGUGUAGUAGCCAAUGUAAAAAAGUAUAUUAAAUAAAAAAAAAAGUCUUCAGAGUUCGGAAACGGUCCCCUUUCAAUCCUUAAGUUUCCAUAGCUGAGCACAGGACUGCUGUGUGCUUUGGCAAUGAAAAAUAAUAUAACAUUUUUUGACAGAGCAAACUUCACCAGUAGCAUAUGUUGGAGCAAUACUAUAGGCUCCAAGUUGUAUUAAGCCAACUAUAAGUUUGACAGCAGAAAUAUAUCUGUCUCCUUGAACAAAUAGUCUGAGGCAUAUAUGUAGAUCCAUACAAGCUGUUCUCUUAGUUUCAACUCAUGUGAAGUAAAGGUGAGAUUUUAGUAAGCAAUAGCAUAAGCAAAUUACUAUGAAAAAGAAUUCAUCAUUCCAAGAAUUGUCUCAUAAGAUAUUGAAUCCCAAUGAGAAAUGGUGAUCAACAAGUGUACAGGGAAAAAGAGGAUCUCCUAACUAAUUCUUCAACCCUCUUCCAUUGCCACAUGAGGAGAGGAUGGGUAAGUAAAGGCAAGUUAGUCCUUCUUACUUCUUCGUAUCCAAACCUCUGGGGACAAGGAACUGAGUAAGGAAUAUGGAGAAAAGGAUGAUAUAUCUCUAUGUUUGUAGAUGAAUAAGAGAAAUUAGAUACAGACUCCUGUCUAAUCUAUAUCACCAUCUGACCCUAAAUAUUUGUAUAUGUAUGUUAAACCUCAGUUUUGCAUUACUUAGUAAAUAAAACAUACAGUUGAAAAAAAAAAAAAAAGAUAAAUUAAGGUGCAGUAAAUACUACUUGUUAGCAAGAGGCAAAUUUUAUGUACCCUUUCCACACAAAAAAUAUAUAUUUUUUCUUCCUUGUAAAUAUGAGUAUGUCCUUCCGUUUUCUUAAACUGUAAAUGGGAAAGGUGAGUUGAAGGGACAGAUUUCAAUGAUCCUAUUAAUUGAAAUAAUAAGAUAUAUCCUGAGGUUGACUUUUGAAAUGUUUCGUAGGCAUGCAGUUACAGAUCUCCACACGGAUUUUGUUUCCCAUUUGUGAAAUACGUCUUAUUGCUCUUUCAGAAACAUGCUCUUCCAUCAUAUGGAGUUUGAUUAAGCUUAUUUCUUGGUGAAUUCCACCUUUCCCAUGGUCAGGGAUAACUAAAUAUCCAUUUCCUUUAGACCUUCUUCAACUGUGCCAUUUGCUGCCAUUAAUCAUGCCCUUUUGUUCACACAAAUCGGUGGCUCAAAUGAUUAGAAGGUACUACGAUGAACGGUGCCACACAGUGAGUAAAAUGUACAAAAAGAUACUAAAGAGUGCUUGCCAUACUUUUGAUGUCUUAUACGCUUAUAUGGUACAGCGUGGAGUGUCCAGUAGCUAGUUGCUCUGUUGUGCUUUUGUAUGUUAUGAGACAUUUUUAAUUCUGUAAGUUCUAAGUUUUUCUGUACUUCUGUGAGCGAGACUUUCUGCAGCACAACCAAGAGGGCUGACUGCAGAACAAAAUGAUAGCAGAUAACAGUGAACAAAGUUUUGGAAAAGCAUAAUUGGUGGAUGAAUAGGUUAUACAGUUUGUAUAAAAAACGGGACAUUUUUUUAGAUGGAAAGAUAUCUAUAAAUAAGUAUAUUAAAACAUGAUCCUUAAAACCACUCAUCAUUCAUAUAAACCAAUAGUUCUUUGUGAAAAGAAAUAAGAAAUGCGCUGUCUUAUCUAUGUGUCCAUAGCUUGCUGUAAAACCUAGUGAGACCCACCAAAGUCUUUCCAUUGAUUUCAGUGGGUUUUGAGACAGAGCUGUAAUUGCCCCUUGGAAUGACGUUACAAGGUACCUACCUUCAGAGGCUGAUUGUUUCCAUUCUGCUUCAGGUAAUAGUGUUACAGUCUAGAUCAAGAGGCUUUUUAUGCAUACCAGCUGAAAAGAAGCAGUUCCUGAUUGCUUCUGCAAAAGAAAGCAGUGACUAAGACAGCUUGGGUUUUUAAUACUGUUAGCUUGCUGGUUAAAAAGAACUAAAUCUUUUUCAAAAUCUCUAUACUGUUGAAAUCAGUGCAAACAUUAUGAAUUUACUGGUGAAAAAAUCAGUGACAUAUUUCCCUCUUUAUCCUUCUAGCCCUGAAGAAUGUAAUGCUGCUGAAUAUGCUGACUUUUGUAAGAGAUGUAAAACAGAUUCUGUGAUCAUUUGUGGUCAUUAAGAAUCACUUUUUUUUUUUCUUUUUUUCUUUUUCUUUUUCUUUUUUUUUCAUGAAUAGAGGUGUUAGUGAAGGUGUUCUGGCCUAAUUCCAGCUCUGGUAAUUUGAUUUUUUUUUUUUUUCCUGCCUACACACGUUCUUUCAGCAGUCUCAUUUGGCUCUGUAUGUUGAGCUCAAUUCAGUGUUGCCCCAUGAUGCCUCUUGCAUCAGUUGGACUGGUGCAAAUGGGUACAAAGACAACCGUAUACCCUUUUUUCUUUUCCUGCUCAUAUAGCCCUUUGCUUCAAGAGCAACAAGUGGUAUAUCUAUACCACCCCUCCAUCAAUGGAUGGCAUUGGGGUAUUUGCAUAUGGGAGUAUUCAGAGGGCACCCAAAAUGGGAAUGGAAUAAAUAUGAGGGAUAGAGUAGAAGCUGAAAGCCGAAGCAUUCUUCUAACAAGGAUUUUCAGCCCUGCAGUGACACACAAGAACAUGGUCAAGUCAGCUUUUGGCAGGAGGUUUAACCCCACUAUGUGCUGCACAGUUGAAUUUGUAGUGAUGGAUGGUAUCAACACUAGUUAAGGAUAAUUCUUUCUAUGUGUGUAACCUGCUAAAACGCUCCCAAAAUUUGUCAGGAAGAGAAGACAUGAAUACUGAAGAAAGAAUUACAGUAUUGGAUGGAAGGAAGGAAGAAACACAUGAGGCUGGGACAAGGAUUUGGAUCAGAAUGAUACAUCCUUUGCUCUGGCAGAUACAAGGAUAUGCUGGAAAACAAGCUUGCUGUCUUUCUGUUGCUGUGUCAAACCGAGACAACACAGGACAAAAGAAGGGGAGAGACAGUGCUUCUGUCCAUGGGCUGUGACCGUCAGAAGAAAUGGAGAUCACAGUACUGAUGAUUCCCUCCUCCUACCACUGCUGCUUCUAAUGGAAAAUAUUCACCCAUGCCUUUUGCCUAGGGCAUGUGAAACAACUCAGUGGAAAAGAGACUGCCUGGAUAAGAACAGGACAUAACCCUUGGCUAGGCCUCUUGGAAGCUGAAGUUAAGCAUAAGAUAAUGGCACUGUGAAAACAGAAGAAAUGAUAAGUACUAUGAUAACGUGAAGAUGUGGAUCUAAUAAAGGUAAAAGGAUAAUGUGCACAAAAUCCCCACUAUUAAGGAACAUCUGUAGAUACAGCUUUUCUGAACUGAGAUCUUAAGUUGGCACAGAUGUC